AUUGAACGCUGGCGUCAGGCCUAACACAUGCAAGUCGAACGAGUGGCGGACGGGUGCGUAAUGUCUGGGAAACUGCCUGAUGGAGGGGGAUAACUACUGGAAACGGUAGCUAAUACCGCAUACCAUCAGAUGUUCCCAGAUGGGAUUAGCUAGUAGGUGAGGUAACGGCUCACCUAGGCGACGAUCCCUAGCUGGUCUGAGAGGAUGACCAGCCACACUGGAACUGAGACACGGUCCAUACUCCUACGGGAGGCAGCAGUGGGGAAUAUUGCAUAAGGGGCGAAAGCCUGAUGCAGCCAUGCCGCGUGUAUGAAGAAGGCCUUCGGGUUGUAAAGUACUUUCAGCGGGGAGGCGUUACCCGCAGAAGAAGCACCGGCUAACUCCGUGCCAGCAGCCGCGGUAAUUC
RNAcentral lists this ribosomal RNA (406 nucleotides) under uncultured bacterium. Its description in RNAcentral is "partial 16S ribosomal RNA". It matches the Rfam family "Bacterial small subunit ribosomal RNA", at positions 30 to 526 of the family's 1533-position model. The record is from RNAcentral.